This is a non-coding RNA of Chelonoidis abingdonii (Abingdon island giant tortoise), 333 nucleotides long. The record is from RefSeq and is a predicted model, not a curated record. Lineage: Eukaryota; Metazoa; Chordata; Testudines; Testudinidae.
UUACAACAGGCUACCUAAAAGCACUAGCGAAGUCAGUACAAACUACAAUUUCAUACAAUGACUUGUUUAUACCGCUCUAUAUGCUGACAUGAACUGCUUACUAGUGGAACUCCAUUGACUUAAAGGGAGUUACUUCUGUUUUAUACCAGUGUUUCUGAAAGGGGAGGAAUGUUCCCCCUGGCCCUCACAUAUACGUGGCUGCACACUCGAUUGAAACAUAGUUAAAGAGGAUACUAAAGCUUGGAACACUGUUUGUGGGUUCUGGGAGUAUGGAGGAAAAGAACUACUCUUGUGUAUCCAGUCAGUCAUGGUGUCUCUCAAGCAAAACUUUCU